UACGUAGGGGGCAAGCGUUAUCCGGAAUUAUUGGGCGUAAAGAGCUCGUAGGCGGUUUGUCGCGUCUGCUGUGAAAACUGGAGGCUCAACCUCCAGCCUGCAGUGGGUACGGGCAGACUAGAGUGCGGUAGGGGAGAUUGGAAUUCCUGGUGUAGCGGUGGAAUGCGCAGAUAUCAGGAGGAACACCGGUGGCGAAGGCGGGUCUCUGGGCAGUAACUGACGCUGAGGAGCGAAAGCGUGGGGAGCGAACAGG
This 253-nucleotide ribosomal RNA is filed under the name uncultured bacterium. RNAcentral describes it as "partial 16S ribosomal RNA". It matches the Rfam family "Bacterial small subunit ribosomal RNA", at positions 524 to 776 of the family's 1533-position model. The record is from RNAcentral.